Loxodonta africana (African savanna elephant) is the source of this 112-nucleotide small nuclear RNA. The record is from Ensembl. Lineage: Eukaryota; Metazoa; Chordata; Mammalia; Proboscidea; Elephantidae.
UUUUUCACCACCCUAAACAGCACAUACCCUAAAAUUGGAACCAUACGGAGGAAGAUUAGCAUGCCCCCUUCACAAGGAUGGCACGCAAAUUCGUGAAGCAUUCCACAUGGAA